AGAGUUUGAUCCUGGCUCAGGACGAACGCUGGCGGCGCGCUUAAUACAUGCAAGUCGAGCGAGAACCAGGGCUUCGGCCCUGGGGACAGCGGCGAACGGGUGAGUAACACGUGGGUAAUCAACCCUCGACACUGGGAUAGCCCGGGGAAACCCGGAUUAAUACCGGAUACCCCGUCCGGCCUUCGGGCCGGCCGGAAAAGGUAGCUUCGGCCUCCGGUCGGGGACGAGCCCGCGGCGGAUUAGCUUGUUGGUGUGGGUAAUGGCCCACCAAGGCGACGAUCCGUAGCUGGUCUGAGAGGACGAUCAGCCACACUGGGACUGAGACACGGCCCAGACUCCUACGGGAGGCAGCAGUAGGGAAUCUUGCGCAAUGGGCGAAAGCCUGACGCAGCGACGCCGCGUGAGGGAAGAAGGCCUUCGGGUUGUAAACCUCUUUCAGGAGGGACGAAGCCACUCGGGUUAAUAGCCCAGAGGGUGACGGUACCUCCAGAAGAAGCCCCGGCUAACUACGUGCCAGCAGCCGCGGUAAUACGUAGGGGGCAAGCGUUGUCCGGAUUUAUUGGGCGUAAAGAGCGUGUAGGCGGCCAAACAGGUCCACUGUGAAAACUCGAGGCUCAACCUCGAGAGGUCGGUGGAAACCGUAUGGCUAGAGUCCGGAAGAGGAGAGUGGAAUUCCCGGUGUAGCGGUGAAAUGCGCAGAUAUCGGGAAGAACACCCGUGGCGAAGGCGGCUCUCUGGGACGGUACUGACGCUGAGACGCGAAAGCGUGGGGAGCGAACAGGAUUAGAUACCCUAGUAGUCC
RNAcentral lists this ribosomal RNA (802 nucleotides) under uncultured bacterium. RNAcentral's name for it is "bacterial SSU rRNA". It matches the Rfam family "Bacterial small subunit ribosomal RNA", at positions 8 to 796 of the family's 1533-position model. The record is from RNAcentral.